CCGCACGCUCGCCGUUCACCGCCCGUGCGCCGCCUGCGCUUGCCAUCCCUGCCGUGCGACCCAGCUCCCGUUCGGCCUCUGUUCAGCCACCGUGAGCGGCUGAGCAGGCCACCGGAGCCGCUGUUCGGCCUCCCCGGAGUUCCGCCCGCUCCCCCGAACCCUUCUCUGCCCCUAACCAUCCCUGUUUUCCUCUGUUUCGCAGCAAACCAGCAACAAACGAAAUGGGUUUCCAGCUGGUUCGGGCUCGUUUUGGGCCGUUUCCGGGCCCCGGAUCCGUGAGUCGCUUUGGGAAGAAUCGUUCCUCGCGUCGCCGCCGUCGGAUUGAUCCGAUUUGUGCGCGAUUUGGUGAGUAAUCUCACUAAUCUCGGAUUAGUUUGCUAAUUAUGCUUUAGGUUGGUUUAGUUUUAAUUAAUUAUGUUUAGGUUGUUAGAUUAGAAGUAAUUAGCAAUUAUUAGUCAAUUGUGAUGCAAUUUAGAAAAAUUGAUUGCGCAAUUAGCAAGUAGACGUGGUCUACUAAUUAUUGGAAGUGUUUCGGGAAUUUUCGGACCCCUAAUCGGGCUUCAAUUUGGCGAUUCGGGCCUAAGUGGGAUUUUUGGCAUUUAAAUAUUAUUUUUCGGAAUUAAAUUAAUUAAUUAUUUAUUUUCCGAAAAUUCAACUGAGAUGGUCCGGGACCGGAAAAUUUUGUUGAUGACCGUGGUGAAGUCCGUUUAUUUAAUCGGGUUUUAUUUUGAGCUAAAUUGAAUUUUUAAUAUUAAUUAUUUAAUUUUCGAAAUUAAUUAAUUAAUUAAUUAUUUUCCGAAAAUUCAACUUGGAUGGCUAGUGGCCGAAUUUUUAUGCUGAUGAUCGUGGUGCAGCCCGUUUAUUUAAUUGGGCUUUAAUUAAGCUAAAUUGAAUUUAUUGAAAUUAAUUAUUAAUUUUCGAAAUUAAUUAAUUAAUUAAUUAUUUUUCGGAAAUUAAGAUUGAGAUGGCCAACGACCGGAAUUUUGUGCUGAUUGUCGUGGCACAGUCUGUUUAUUUAAUUGAGCUUUAUUUUGUGCUAAAUUGAGUUAUUUGUGAAAUUGGAAAUUAUUCUUUAAUUGAAUAAUCUCUGGUUAUUAAUUGAAAAAUAACCGGGCAUCGGUUGAUGAUGCCAAAAAUAUUUGAAUGGACUACAGAAAAUGUGGGAGUUAUGGAAAGAAAAAUAUUAUAUUUUGGCUAAGGCCAGCCGUGUGCCCACGCACGAUAUUUUAUCGAAUAUUUUUGAUACGAAGAAAUGAGGCCAAGAUAGUGCGAGGCACAAUGCCAUUGGGCCGUGAGGGAUUAACGUGUGUUGGCUUAUAGAUGAAGCAAGAUGAUUAUCGAAAGUGAUGCGAUGUGUGUUGUGUUGAGGGAAACCAAUGGAUCAUGAGCAGGUAAAGGACUAAGUACUACACAAGUAGAAGACUUCGUGUGAGUUACCUCUAGCGCCCUAUACCAUUGCUUAUUGUAGUUAAGGACUAAGUAUUACAUGGCGACCUGAGUCGCAUGGGAAUUACCUCUAGCGCCUUGCUGCAUUGUUAUGCAUAGUGGAGGGCUAAGUGCUACGCGAUGGAAGAUCUCGUGUGAGUCACCUCUAGCGCCUUACCCUAUUGCAUUUUGUAGUUAAGGACUAAGUACUACACGAUAGCGAGAUUUCGUGUGAGCUACCUCUAGCGCCUUAUACUAUUGUUAUUUGUGGUCAAGGACUAAGUACCGCACGAUGACGAGACUUCGUGUUGGGGUCACCUCUAGCGCCUUGAGCCUAUAUUUGAGCGGGAAUGUUGAAUGGGAAUGUUGAGAUUAAUUAUCGAGUAUAGAUGGAAUCAUUGAUAUGAUUUGAUCCGUUUGUCAUGGAUUGAUUGAUUGAUCUGAAUUGGCCGGGGAAUGGUUUUCGUUGACAUGUAAUCGACUAGGUCGAUUGAUCAUUGCUUUGGUCUGAUGUUGUGAAAUGAUUGAUUGAAUGGAAAUGACCGUGAGUGGUCUUGUUGGCAUUUAAUCGACAAGGUCGAUUUGAUCGACGCUUCGAUCAGUGAUAUGAUUGCUUGGGUGCCUAUUAUGAAUUGUACUGACUUGCAGGUGGGACAUGAGGCCAAGGUACGUCUUCUGCCCUAUGCGUGUAUAGGCAGCCUGUAGUAUAAUGGUUUACUAAUCGGGCUUAGUGGGGUAGAACUCGCUGAGACGUAGUCUCAUCCCAGUUUGGGGAAAACAUUUCAGGACCCCAUUGAGGAGCUGAGGAGGAAUCUGAGAAGGAGAACUCGGAGGUGAAACCUGAGUAGAAGGAUUUUUGAAAGAAGAAGAUAAUACCGAGAGAGAUUUUGAGUAUGACCUGAAGGGAUUGAGAUUCCAUCUUCUUUUGUGAACUCCAAUUGAUGUGAAUAGUUAUGACGUGCUCUAGUUGAUGUCAUGUACAAAAGUUUGGUUAUAAAUUUCAAUAUGAAAGAUAUGGCCC
Molecule: long non-coding RNA, 2446 nt
Filed under: Eucalyptus grandis
Lineage: Eukaryota; Viridiplantae; Streptophyta; Magnoliopsida; Myrtales; Myrtaceae
Description: long non-coding RNA (EGRA_LNC003371)
Source: RNAcentral